Bombina bombina (fire-bellied toad) is the source of this 5582-nucleotide RNA transcript. RefSeq lists it as uncharacterized. The transcript is spliced from 3 exons. The record is from RefSeq and is a predicted model, not a curated record. Lineage: Eukaryota; Metazoa; Chordata; Amphibia; Anura; Bombinatoridae.
CUGGGUGCGGACUGUUUGGUAAGUAAUUGGAUACAAACAUGUAAGGCUGUGCUUGCAGGGCAAGAAGAGAUAUAUGUAAGUUCAUAGCAAGAAGGAUGCAAGCAGAGCGCAAACAGACUACAAAUUGUAAUGAGACUUUGCAGGAGGCCUCUGCCAAGGUAAAAGGAAUAAACCGCAGGGGAUGUCAAAAUGACACAGACUGAAGGGAGCUACAAGUUUGUCCCUCCCCUUGCAGGGUGACACAGUGACACAGACAGAAGGGAGCUAUGAGUCUGUCACUCCCCUUGCAGGGUCACACAGUGACACAGACAGAAGGGAGCUAUGAGUCUGUCCCUCCCCCUGCCAGGUGACACAGUGACACAGACAGAAGGGAGCUAUGAGUCUGUCCCUCCCCCUGCAGGGUGACACUGACAGAAGGGAGCUACGACUCUGUCCCUCCCCCUGCAGGGUGACACAGUGACACAGACAGAAGGGAUCUAUGAGUCUGUCCCUCCCCCUACAGGUGACACAGUGACACAGACAGAGGGGAGCUAUGAGUCUGUCCCUCCCCUUGCAGGGUCACACAGUGACACAGACAGAAGGGAGCUAUGAGUCUGUCCCUCCCCCUGCCAGGUGACACAGUGACACAGACAGAAGGGAGCUAUGAGUCUGUCCCUCCCCCUGCAGGGUGACACAGUGACACUGACAGAAGGGAGCUACGACUGUGUCCCUCCCCCUGCAGGGUGACACAGUGACACAGACAGAAGGGAUCUAUGAGUCUGUCCCUCCCCCUACAGGGUGACACAGUGACACAGACAGAAGGGAGCUAUGAGUCUGUCCCUCCCCCUGCAGGUUGACACAGUGACACAGACAGAAGGGAGCUUUGAGUCUGUCCCUCCCCCUGCAGAUGACACAGUCACAAAAACAGAAGGGAGCUAUGAGUCUGCCCCUCCCUCUGCCAGGUGACACAGUGACACAGACAGAAGGGAGUUAUGAGUGUCCCUCUCCUUGCAGGGUAACACAGACAGAAGGGAGCUAUGCAUCUGUCCCUCCCUCUGCAGUGUGUCACUGUGUCAAAACAGAAGGGAGCUAUAAGUCUGCCCCUCCCCCUGCCAGGUGACAAAGACAGAAGGGAGCUAUGAGUCUGUCCCUCCACCUGCAUAAGACACAGUGGCACAGACAGAAGGCAGUUAUGAGUCUGCGCCUCCCCCUGCCAGGUGACACAGUGACACAGACAGAAGGGAGCUAUGAGUCUGUCACUCCCCUGCAGGGUAACACAGUAACACAGACUGAAGGGAGCUACAAGUUUGUCCCUCCCCUUGCAGGGUGACACAGUGACACAGACAGAAGGGAGCUAUGAGUCUGUCCCUCCCCCUGCCAGGUGACACAGUGACACAGACAGAAGGGAGUUAUGAGUGUCCCUCUCCUUGCAGGGUAACACAGACAGAAGGGAGCUAUGCAUCUGUCCCUCCCUCUGCAGUGUGUCACUGUGUCAAAACAGAAGGGAGCUAUAAGUCUGCCCCUCCCCCUGCCAGGUGACAAAGACAGAAGGGAGCUAUGAGUCUGUCCCUCCACCUGCAUAAGACACAGUGGCACAGACAGAAGGCAGUUAUGAGUCUGCGCCUCCCCCUGCCAGGUGACACAGUGACACAGACAGAAGGGAGCUAUGAGUCUGUCACUCCCCUGCAGGGUAACACAGUAACACAGACUGAAGGGAGCUACAAGUUUGUCCCUCCCCUUGCAGGGUGACACAGUGACACAGACAGAAGGGAGCUAUGAGUCUGUCCCUCCCCCUGCCAGGUGACACAGUGACACAGACAGAAGGGAGCUAUGAGUCUGUCCCUCCCCUUGCAGGGUCACACAGUGACACAGACAGAAGUGAUCUAUGAGUCUGUCCCUCCCCCUGCAGGUUGACACAGUGACACAGACAGAAGGGAGCUAUGAGUCUGUCCCUCCCCCUGCAGGUUGACACAGUGACACAGACAGAAGGGAGCUAUGAGUCUGUCCCUCCCCCUGCAGGUUGACACAGUGACACAGACAGAAGGGAGCUAUGAGUCUGUCCCUCCCUGUGCAGGGUGACACAGUGACACAGACAGAAGUGAUCUAUGAGUCAGUCCCUCCCCCUGCAGGUUGACACAGUGACACAGACAGAAGGGAGCUAUGAGUCUGUCCCUCCCCCUGCAGGGUGACACAGUGACACAGACAGAAGUGAUCUAUGAGUCUGUCCCUCCUCCUGCAGGUUGACACAGUGACACAGACAGAAGGGAGCUAUGAGUCUGUCCCUCCCCCUGCAGGUUGACACAGUGACACAGACAGAAGGGAGCUAUGAGUCUGCCCCUCCCUCUGCCAGGUGACACAGUGACACAGACAGAAGGGAGCUAUGAGUCUGCCCCUCCCUCUGCCAGGUGACACAGUGACACAGACAGAAGGGAGUUAUGAGUGUCCCUCUCCUUGCAGGGUAACACAGACAGAAGGGAGCUAUGCAUCUGUCCCUCCCUCUGCAGUGUGUCACUGUGUCAAAACAGAAGGGAGCUAUACGUCUGCCCCUCCCCCUGCCAGGUGACACAGACAGAAGGGAGCUAUGAGUCUGUCCCUCCCCCUGCAGGGUGACACAGUGACACAGACAGAAGUGAUCUAUGAGUCUGUCCCUCCCCCUGCAGGUUGACACAGUGACACAGACAGAAGGGAGCUAUGAGUCUGUCCCUCCCCCUGCAGGUUGACACAGUGACACAGACAGAAGGCAGCUAUGAGUCUGCGCCUCCCCCUGCCAGGUGACACAGAUAGAAGGGAGUGAUGAGUCUGUAAAACACAAGCGGAAAGCGGGUCACAGGUGGAAAAACAAAAGCAUCUUUAUUGCUGGUCAAACACGGAAGGUAAAAUACAAAAUAAUAAAACCAACUACAUGUAGAGAAAAACGGUCAGACGCGUUUCGGCUCACGCCUUCAUCUAUGAGUCUGUCCUUCACCCUGCAAGGUGACACAGUGACACAAAUAGAGGGGAGCUAUGAGUCUGUCAGUCCCCCUGCAGGUGACACAGUGACACAGACAGAAGGGAGCUAUGAGUCUGCCCCUCCCCCUGCCAAGUGACACAGUGACACAGACAGAAGGCAGCUAUGAGUCUCUCCCUCCCCCUGCAGGGUGACACUGACACAGACAGAAGGGAGCUAUAAGUCUGUCCCUCCCCCUGCAGAGUGAUACAGUGACACAGACAGAAGGAAGCUAUGAGUCUGUCCCUCCUUCUGCAGGGUGACACAGUGACACAGACAGAAGGGAGCUAUAAGUCUGUCCCUCCCCCUGCAGGGUGACACAGUGACACAGACAGAAGGGAGCUAUAAGUCUGUCCCUCCCCCUGCAGAGUGAUAAAGUGACAUAGACAGAAGAAAGCUAUGAAUCUGCCGCUCCCCCUGCAGGUGACACAGUGACACAGACAGAAGGGAGCUAUGAGUCUUCCCCUCCCCCUGCAGGGUGACACAGACAGAAGGGAGCUAUAAGUCUGUCCCUCCCCCUGCAAAGUGAUACAGUGACUUAGACAGAAGGGAGCUAUAAGUCUGUCCCUCCCCCUGUAGGUGACACAGACAGAAAGAAGCUAUGAGUCUUUACCUCCCCCUGCAGAGUGACACAGACAGAAGGGAGCUACUAUGAGUCUGUCUCUCCUCCUGCAGGGUGACACAGUGACACAGACAGAAGGGAGCUAUGAGUCUUUCCCUCCCCCUGCAGGAUGACAGUGACACAGACAGAAGGGAGUUAUGAGUCUGUCCCUCCCCCUACAGGGUGACACAGUGACACAGACAGAAGGAGCUAUGAGUCUGUCCCUCCCCCUGCAGGGUGAUACAGUGACACAGACAUAAUUGAGCUAUGAGUCAGUCUCUCACCUGCAGGGUGACACUGACAGAAGGCAGCUGUGAGUCUGUCCCUCCCCCUGCAGGGUGACACAGUGACACAGACAGAAGGGAGCUAUAAGUCUGUCCCUCCCCCUGCAGAGUGAUACAGUGACAUAGACAGAAGGAAGCUAUGAGUCUGAUCCUCCCCCUGCAGGGUGACACAGUGACACAGACAGAAGGAAGCUAUGAGUCUGUCCCUCCCCCUGCAGUUGACAAAGUGACCUAGACAGAAGAAAGCUAUGAGUCUGCCCCUCACCCUGCAGGUGACACAGUGACACAGACAGAAGGGAGCUAUGAGUCUUCCCCUCCCCCUGCAGGGUGACACAGUGACACAGACAGAAGAAAGCUAUAAGUCUGUCCCUCCCCCUGCAAAGUGAUACAGUGACUUAGACAGACGGGAGCUAUAAGUCUGUCCCUCCCCCUGCAGGUGACACAGACAGAAAGAAGCUAUGAGUCUUUACCUCCCCCUGCAGGGUGACACAGUGACACAGACAGAAGGGAGCUAUAAGUCUGUCCCUCCCCCUGCAGGGUGACACAGUGACACAGACAGAAGGGAGCUAUAAGUCUGUCCCUCCCCCUGCAGGUGACACAGUGACACAGACAGAAGAGAGCUAUGAAUCUUCCCCUCCCCCUGCAGGGUGACACAGUGACACAGACAGAAGGGAGCUAUAAGUCUGUCCCUCACCCUGCGAAGUGAUACAGUGACUUAGACAGACGGGAGCUAUAAGUCUGUCCCUCCCCCUGCAGGUGACACAGACAGAAAGAAGCUAUGAGUCUUUACCUCCCCCUGCAGGGUGACAAAGACAGAAGGGAGCUAUAAGUCUGCCCCUCCUCCUGCAGGGUGACACUGUGACACAGACAGAAGGGAGCUAUGAGUCUUUCCCUCCCCCUGCAGGGUGACAGUGACACAGACAGAAGGGAGCUAUGAGUCUGUCUCUCCCCUGCAAGGUGACACAGUGACACAGACAGAAGGGAGCUAUGAGUCUGCUCCUUCCCUGCAGGGUGACACAGUGAAAAGACAGAAUGAAGCUAUGAGUCUGCCCCUCCCCCUGCAGGGUGACAUAGUGACACAGACAGAAGGGAGCUAUGAGUCUGCCCCUCCCCCUGCAGGGUGACAUAGUGACACAGACAGAAGGGAUUUCUUAGUCUUCUCUCCCCCCUCCCCCCGCAGGGUGACAGUGACAGAAGGGAGCACUAAGUCUUUCUUGUUGUGUAUUACAAGGCAGAUAGAUUACAUUUAAUAAAAAUGCAUCUCUUGAACGGAAUUAAUAAAACAGUAACCAACACAUGAAUCCUUUAUCUCGGUACAGACAGUGCAUCUACUAUACCUGGAUAUGCAAUUGCCCUUCUGGUCCUGGCAGCUGUUGCUCUCCUGGCUAUUUUUCUAUGCUUCGGCUUCAUGAUUGCGUUCCGUCGGAGUUAGCGGUCAGGCCGCUGAAGCAAAUGGAUCCUUUAAUCGUUCUUGUUGAAGCAUCAGUCUGAGAUAGUAAAAGUCUCCUAUUCUUUAGAAGAUCCAAUAAAAAUGCUUGAUCUGGUGUCUAUGAAGAAUAUUUUGUCAUCUUCAACAAACAUAAAUGUAUUUUUCUUUAACUCAUUAAAUCCUCUGGUUCUGCUACUGAAAUCUGUGACAAGGAAGUUUUAAAACUAAAAUUGCAUGCUCUGUUUUUUAGGCCGUUUAAAGUGAAUGUAAAUUUUGAUGUUUAAGUGCCCGGUUUUUAAAACU